UACGUAGGGCGCAAGCGUUGUCCGGAAUUAUUGGGCGUAAAGAGCUCGUAGGCGGUUUGUCGCGUCGGAUGUGAAAGCCCGGGGCUUAACCCCGGGUCUGCAUUCGAUACGGGCAGACUGGAGUGUGGUAGGGGAGAUCGGAAUUCCUGGUGUAGCGGUGAAAUGCGCAGAUAUCAGGAGGACCACCGGUGGCGAAGGCGGAUCUCUGGGCCAUUACUGACGCUGAGGAGCGAAAGCGUGGGGAGCAAACAGG
RNAcentral lists this ribosomal RNA (253 nucleotides) under uncultured bacterium. RNAcentral describes it as "partial 16S ribosomal RNA". It matches the Rfam family "Bacterial small subunit ribosomal RNA", at positions 524 to 776 of the family's 1533-position model. The record is from RNAcentral.